UACGUAGGGUGCAAGCGUUUGUCCGGAAUUAUUGGGCGUAAAGAGCUCGUAGGCGGUUUGUCGCGUCGAAUGUGAAAACCCGGGGCUCAACCCCGGGCCUGCAUUCGAUACGGGCAGACUAGAGUUCGGUAGGGGAGUCUGGAAUUCCUGGUGUAGCGGUGAAAUGCGCAGAUAUCAGGAGGAACACCGGUGGCGAAGGCGGGACUCUGGGCCGAUACUGACGCUGAGGAGCGAAAGCGUGGGGAGCAAACAGG
RNAcentral lists this ribosomal RNA (254 nucleotides) under uncultured bacterium. Its description in RNAcentral is "partial 16S ribosomal RNA". It matches the Rfam family "Bacterial small subunit ribosomal RNA", at positions 524 to 776 of the family's 1533-position model. The record is from RNAcentral.